This 830-nucleotide small RNA is filed under the name Pan troglodytes (chimpanzee). RNAcentral's name for it is "processed transcript". The record is from RNAcentral. Lineage: Eukaryota; Metazoa; Chordata; Mammalia; Primates; Hominidae.
GCAACCUCCCCAGCACCACUAAGCGUAAAUGUGCCUCCUCCUCCUCCUAUACCACCUCCUCAGCCUCUGACGACGACAGGCAGAGGACAGGUCCAGUCUCUGUGGGGACCAAGAAAGAUCCGCCGUCAGCAGUGCUGUCUGGGGAGGGGGCCACCCCACGGAAGGAGCCAGUGGUGGGAGGCACCCUGAGCCCGCUCGCCCUGGCCAAUAAGGCGGAGAGCGUGGUGUCCGUCACCAGUCAGUGUAGCUUCAGCUCCACCAUCGUCCAUGUGGGAGACAAGAAGCCCCCGGAGUCGGAAGGAAGAGCAAGCCUUCCUCAGCCGCUUCCGAGACCUGGGCAGGCUGCGUGGACUCGACAGCUCUUCCACAGCUCCCUCAGCCCUUGGCGAGCGAGGCUGCCACCACGGCCCCGCACCCCCAAGCCGCCGACACCACUGCCGAUCCAAAGCCAAGCGCUCACGCCACCACCAGAACCCUCGGGCUGAAGCGCCCUGCUAUGUCUCACACCCCUCACCCGUGCCACCCUCCACCCCCUGGCCCACCCCACCAGCCACUACCCCCUUCCCAGCGGUUGUCCAGCCCUACCCUCUCCCAGUGUUCUCUCCUCGAGGAGGCCCCCAGCCUCUUCCCCCUGCUCCCACAUCUGUGCCCCCAGCUGCUUUCCCCGCCCCUUUGGUGACCCCAAUGGUGGCCUUGGUGCUCCCUAACUAUCUGUUCCCAACCCCAUCCAGCUAUCCUUAUGGGGCACUCCAGACCCCUGCUGAAGGGCCUCCCACUCCUGCCUCGCACUCCCCUUCUCCAUCCUUGCCCGCCCUCCCCCCCAGUCCUCC